This 194-nucleotide ribosomal RNA is filed under the name Rossellomorea vietnamensis. RNAcentral describes it as "Bacillus vietnamensis partial 16S ribosomal RNA". It matches the Rfam family "Bacterial small subunit ribosomal RNA", at positions 1348 to 1533 of the family's 1533-position model. Lineage: Bacteria; Bacillati; Bacillota; Bacilli; Caryophanales; Bacillaceae. The record is from RNAcentral.
AUCAGCAUGCCGCGGUGAAUACGUUCCCGGGCCUUGUACACACCGCCCGUCACACCACGAGAGUUUGUAACACCCGAAGUCGGUGAGGUAACCUUUUGGAGCCAGCCGCCUAAGGUGGGACAGAUGAUUGGGGUGAAGUCGUAACAAGGUAGCCGUAUCGGAAGGUGCGGCUGGAUCACCUCCUUUCUAAGGAA